AGCUUUGCGCAGGGGCGGUAUCGUAGCCAAUGAGGUUUAUCCGAGGCGCGAUUAUUGCUAAGAGGUAAAUGCUCUCCUUCCCUGCUUCUAGGCACCUCCCAAGGCUCACAGGACCUGUAGCUGGGAAGGGCAAA
Small nuclear RNA from Neomonachus schauinslandi (Hawaiian monk seal), 134 nucleotides. RefSeq annotates it as U4 spliceosomal RNA. The transcript has a single exon. NCBI's taxonomy places the organism in Eukaryota, Metazoa, Chordata, Mammalia, Carnivora, Phocidae. The record is from RefSeq and is a predicted model, not a curated record.